UCCACUGUUAAUCUUAGCACAAUAUACUCUGUCUUUGAAAUAUCUCCAUGAAUCAACAUAUCAACAUAUCAACUAAAACUAUAGAUAACACCCUAUACUCGAUGAGCAAUAAGCAGCAUACAUGGCUGCUGCACUUUUGUGGAGUAUAUGGAAGCAUAGAAAUUUAAAGCUUUGGUAUGAUGUAAUAGAGACGAGUUCUCCAGUUGUAGAUCGAGCAAUUAGGUUGAUUGAGGAUUGGAACAAUGCGCGCAGAGCAGCAAGGAUACUCGGGUUGACAACAACAGUGCUUCUAAAGUAAUUAAGUCUUUUGAC
This 312-nucleotide long non-coding RNA is filed under the name Trifolium pratense (red clover). Its description in RNAcentral is "long non-coding RNA (TPRA_LNC005545)". Lineage: Eukaryota; Viridiplantae; Streptophyta; Magnoliopsida; Fabales; Fabaceae. The record is from RNAcentral.